AAAAAAUUAAAAGAUGGACUGGA
This 23-nucleotide non-coding RNA is filed under the name Cricetulus griseus (Chinese hamster). The record is from RNAcentral. Lineage: Eukaryota; Metazoa; Chordata; Mammalia; Rodentia; Cricetidae.